This is a long non-coding RNA of Peromyscus leucopus (white-footed mouse), 1569 nucleotides long. RefSeq lists it as uncharacterized. The record is from RefSeq and is a predicted model, not a curated record. NCBI's taxonomy places the organism in Eukaryota, Metazoa, Chordata, Mammalia, Rodentia, Cricetidae. The transcript has 3 exons.
UUCACAGCCUCAGGCCACGCACUCCCCAGUUGUAGCUGACUGGAGGCCUGAGUCCUCCCGUGUCUCCUCCGCCGCCCACCUGCAUGAAGCGGGCACACGGGGGCGCUCGCGCUCCUGCAGCGAAAGCUUCUGGAGAACCUGCUGGGCCCAGGCAGAAGCUCGCUAAGAUCAGACAGCAGCAAGCUCACCAACCCUCGCCUGGCGUCCUUUGUGUCUGCUUUCUCCCUCUGCUGCCCGGUCCUGCCGGAGCCCAAGUCAUCAUGACGCCCACUCGCUCAGGUCCUUCCCUUCCCUCCUCCUUCUCCUGAAGGCAUCCCUUCAAUGACUCACCUACACAAGAGCAGCCUCUUCAAACGCAGUGUGAUGGCUCAUACCUAGAAUCCAGGCAGGAGGGACGCAGAUGUAGGAGGAUUCAGAGAAUCUGAGACCAGCCUGGGCCACUUCAUCAGCCUUGCCUGCAGUCUUCAGUAGUGAGAACAAGGACCAAAUUCAGUAGACCGCUGCACAGCAGCACACACCAGGCCAGACCUCACGCCACAACACUGGAGUGAUUGCAGAGCUCGCCAAAGAGCAAUCCUAAGGAAACUGUUGCAACAAACUGCUAAGCAUUCCAUAGAGGAACUUUCACUUGCUUGACAAGACUAACACAAGUCCACAGAAAACAGUUCUUGCUUCAAAAGAAAAGAAGAGAGUUUAUUCUGAGGCAAAGGUGCAAGUGUGUUUUUCCAGAUUCAAGCAUGAAGUCUCUGCAACUGAUGGCUGCUCCUGGAGCACCAAUCACAAGGCUAGCCCUCUUCUGGCCGAGAGCAGUCAAAGCUCCCUAGAUGGACCACUUCUCCCAAGGCUCUCACAAGGUCACAUGGUUUUCUGGGACAUACAUCCCAAACUGUGGGGCUAAGAGAGCAGCUGAGAGGCACCCAUGCCAGAACCUUUUGAAUAUGUGAAUCUGAGUUUGAAAUUCUUCUCUUAAUUGAAUGAAAUGGUUUGAAGCAGCAGUUUUAUAUGCCCAUUGCUGUAGCUAGCAAUGGGACUAGACAGAGGAAUGAAAAAUGAAUUAAGGGGCUCAGUUGGUAGAGUACCUUCUCAGCAUGCACAAAGUCUGGAUUUGACACAUGUGUAGUGACACAUGGGAGCUGUAAUCCCAGCACAUGGGAGGUGAAGGCUGAUACAACAUAGCAUCAUUUCUGCUACAGAGUGAGUCUGAGGUCGGUCUGGGCUACAUGAGACCCUGUCUCAAAAACAACUAGAAUGGGUAGAGUACUAUCCCCUUACAGAUUCUGCUCAGCUGGUCCAGUAACAGAUGCUCAGAAUCCCAGUACUUGGGGAGGCAGAGGCAGGAAGAUCAAGAGUCUAAGAUCAUCCUCAACUAUGUAGUCAGAGGCUGAGUGGUUUGAAUGAAAAUGGCCCCCAUAGGCUCAUAGAGACUGACACUAUGGGAGGCGUGGCCUUGUUAGAGUAGGGGUGACAUGGUUGGAGGAAGCGUGUCACUGGGAGCAGACUCUGGGGUCUCGAAGCUCAAGCCAGGCCUAGUGUGUCUCAGUCUCUUCCUGCUGCCAUUGGAUCCAGAUG